UCAGAGCCUGCUGGGGCUCAUAAGGGUGAACACAGGAGCUGUGCUGGUUCUUUGCAGCUAGAGAGGAAGAACUUCUUCACCCAGGGCUUGAAGGCAGUAGGAACUUAUGAAGAGUUUCUUGAAGAGUCCUGGCUGUCCUGACCAUAGUUUGCAGAUCAGAACAAAGUGCCAGGUGGGCCAAGGGAUUGGUGUCAAAAUCAGAAGCCUGAAUCUGGUCUGUGAACUUCGGAGCAUCUCAAGCUGAAGGAUACAGUACUCUCAAGUGAAACGAGAAAAUCAUGUCUGUGACAACUGCCUGCUGGUGGCAGCUGCAGGAGCAGAGGAUUUCAGCCCUCCCAUGUUCAGUGCUUGGGACGCAUGUGGCAGAGUGGAGCUGGCAAGAGGAGAUUCCCUUUUCUGUGGCAUGAAUUACAGCAUCUUCUGCAGCUGAGGCUCUAACUUACUGGAGGACACUGCAUCUUCCUCAGGGACAAGGGUGAGCUGGACCCUCUGGGGACCUUAGAAAGGAAUUGUGGUUGGUGGUCACCUGGGGAACUUACUGCACACCAAUGUUGCUCUGAAACGAGUUGAGUCCAACAUUCACGUUUAGUAAGCCCCUAUGACAUGGUGAGGAUGAGCCAGAGUGACUGAGCAAUGCUGCACAACCCGAGACCUGUGUCUGCUUGCCUCUGCCAGGCUGUACCAGAGCACUGGAUUCCUACAGGUAGACCCAGAUCGUGAUGCCAGCUGGGAUUCAUUUACCUAGAUUUUUGCUUAAGCUCCCUGUGAAGACAGGCAUUUCUGGGAGGUGAUUUGUGUUGAACAUUUUGCAUACCUGCCUUAAAAUGGCUUCUGCAGGUACGUGCCUGUCUCCAGUAAUUGUAGAAAAAAAGUUGGAAUAGCUUAAAUUAUGUCCUUACCUUUUAAAUGUUGAGAGUCAAGAAAGGUCUGUUCUGCCUAUAGUAUAUAUUAUUAAUCUGUUCAGGUGUUUCAAGAAAACCACAUUGGUGUCAGGGAGGAGAGGUUUCUAUUGUUAAAACCCC
Non-coding RNA from Anas platyrhynchos (mallard), 1022 nucleotides. The record is from RefSeq and is a predicted model, not a curated record. NCBI's taxonomy places the organism in Eukaryota, Metazoa, Chordata, Aves, Anseriformes, Anatidae.